RNAcentral lists this ribosomal RNA (253 nucleotides) under uncultured bacterium. RNAcentral's name for it is "partial 16S ribosomal RNA". It matches the Rfam family "Bacterial small subunit ribosomal RNA", at positions 524 to 776 of the family's 1533-position model. The record is from RNAcentral.
UACGGAGGGUGCUAGCGUUGUUCGGAAUCACUGGGCGUAAAGCGCGUGUAGGCGGCCGGCUAAGUCUGGUGUGAAAUCCCGGGGCUCACCCCCGGAAGUGCACUGGAAACUGACUGGCUCGAGUCCCGGAGAGGAGGGUGGAAUUCCUGGUGUAGCGGUGAAAUGCGUAGAUAUCAGGAGGAACACCGGUGGCGAAGGCGGCCCUCUGGACGGUGACUGACGCUGAGACGCGAAAGCGUGGGUAGCAAACAGG